UUUUUAAGUAACAUAAAUUAAUGUAUUCAAUUUCGACUUGAUUUAUAGAAAAAUAU
This 56-nucleotide transfer RNA is filed under the name Venturia canescens. RNAcentral describes it as "tRNA-Arg". Lineage: Eukaryota; Metazoa; Arthropoda; Insecta; Hymenoptera; Ichneumonidae. The record is from RNAcentral.